This 497-nucleotide ribosomal RNA is filed under the name uncultured bacterium. RNAcentral describes it as "partial 16S ribosomal RNA". It matches the Rfam family "Bacterial small subunit ribosomal RNA", at positions 28 to 507 of the family's 1533-position model. The record is from RNAcentral.
GAUGAACGCUGGCGGCGUGCCUAAUACAUGCAAGUCGAGCGAACGGACGAGAAGCUUGCUUCUCUGAUGUUAGUGGCGGACGGGUGAGUAACACGUGGAUAACCUACCUAUAAGACUGGGAUAACUUCGGGAAACCGGAGCUAAUACCGGAUAAUAUUUUGAACCGCAUGGUUCAAAAGUGAAAGACGGUCUUGCUGUCACUUAUAGAUGGAUCCGCGCUGCAUUAGCUAGUUGGUAAGGUAACGGCUUACCAAGGCAACGAUGCAUAGCCGACCUGAGAGGGUGAUCGGCCACACUGGAACUGAGACACGGUCCAGACUCCUACGGGAGGCAGCAGUAGGGAAUCUUCCGCAAUGGGCGAAAGCCUGACGGAGCAACGCCGCGUGAGUGAUGAAGGUCUUCGGAUCGUAAAACUCUGUUAUUGGGGAAGAACAUAUGUGUAAGUAACUGUGCACAUCUUGACGGUACCUAAUCAGAAAGCCACGGCUAACUACGUG